Molecule: long non-coding RNA, 2445 nt
Filed under: Ceratitis capitata (Mediterranean fruit fly)
Lineage: Eukaryota; Metazoa; Arthropoda; Insecta; Diptera; Tephritidae
Description: uncharacterized LOC110119103
Source: RNAcentral
UGUUAAUAUGCAUCAAAUUAAGCCCAUUGAAGUGUUAAAUAUGAAAACCGAAACAGUAGCGAAGAAUGACGCAAUAAAAGAUAAACAAGCGGUGGUCUCAUAAAAGACAAAUACCUGAAUGAAUCACGUUUCACGUUUCACGCUAAUUUGUCGUGUAGCUUUUAAAAGCAAAUAAUUUGAAUAAAUAUACGCACACCUUGCGUACACCUACAUGAGAAUAUAUUAAUAAAACAAGUUCAGCAAACAUAAAAAGAAGCAAUGGAAAUUAUGUUUCUACUUUACACUGCUGUUAUUGUAUGGCAAAUUUUUGUUAUGUAAAUAUGUAUUUAAUUUUUUUUAUUAUUUAAAUUUUCUUCAAAUUAGCUGCUUUUGGAUAUUAUCUGUCAAAUAACUUUUUUUUUUACUUGUCUCAUGGAGAUAAUACUUUUGUACUUCAUGCAUUAUUUAUUGUCUAGACUCGUCUGCAAAGGAAUUAGCUGCAAAUGUCGCACGAUUUUCUAUCUAUGCAGUGAAAUGUCUUAUACCAAAUAUUUUCCAAGUAACCGUUUAAAUAUUAAUAAAUUCUUUAGUAUUAAGCUUUGUGUUAAGUUUUUGAUUUAAGAUUCCAAUAUUUCAUAAUUUUUUUUUAGGCCAAGAUAGUAAAGAAUAUGUGAAUUUUUGUUGAAAAUAGCACAUGAUAUCGUGAAAAAUGUAUUAAAUUUGCCAACAUGCGAAUAUAAAUUAAACAGAAUGCAAACAAAGGCGAAGAGACUUAACACUUUUAGCUGAGAUUUUCAUAGAAUCUUAAUAUGUAAUCUUUUUUUUUGACAUUAUAUGGUUUUCAACUUACGUAAAAAAGCGGUUUUAGAUAAUUUUUUUUUAAUUCCUGUUGUUAAUAUUAAGUUUUUGUUAUAAUAAAGAUAUAAUCAAGCGGAGUCUUUAGAAUAUUUUUAGUUGAAAUUGUUCCAUCAAUAAUAAACGAAGAGGUUACCAGAUCAUUAAAAAAGGAAAAUAGAAAAAAUAAAAUAUUCAUUGUUUGUAAAUAAUUCAAAAAAAAAAAAAAAAUGUGAUAAAAGAAAAUUGCAGAACAACAAAAUUCACAUUUCCGAAUUCGAUUAAAAAUAGAGAAAGUUUGGCAAGCACAUACGUACAUACAUACAUACACGUCAAUAAUAAUAAGUACAAAAACAAACAUAAAACCGAAGCAACCUUAAAUAGAAAGAAUUAACAAUAGAACACCGGACCCAAAGAGCUGGACGCUACUGAUAAGCAAUGACAAUGCAAUACGUGAGCUGUGACUGAUUUGAAUAGCGGCCUGGAGAACACAGAAAAAAACCAAAAAAAAAAAAAAUAAACAAAUAAAUUUUAUCAAAACAAUUUGCCAUCACUUUGAAUGGAUGCAAAGCAUAUUUUACUUUUCAAAUAAGUAAAGAAAAGGGCACAAAACAAGAAAGAACUAGAAGAAACAAAACAAAGCACCAAAGGCAACACGAAGCGUUUGUAAUCACAGCUGAUGAGUGCGAGAAUGCCUGUCUGAAGUAAUAAUGCACACACUUAUAUACAUAUGUAUGCACCUACGCAUACAAAUAAAUUAUUUGAAUAUAAUGACACAACAAAUACAAUUCAAUUUAUAUGUAAAACAACAACAAAAACUAUAUAGAACAAUACAGUUUUUGCUAUUAUUAUUAUUUACUUGCAUUCCAUAUUAUUGCUAUUAUAAUCAGUUGGAAAAAAGAAGAGGUAAAAGACGUAAGAGCAAAAACAACAACAAUUAUAGCAACAACAUCAGCAUCACUCACAAGCCAUUACAAGAGUCCAGAUGACACUCUCGUGCCCUAACCCUGUUUUUGUUAUUGUUGAAAUACAUAUGUACACAUACACGUAUGUACAUAUACAAUAGUAUGUAUAACAAUCUUUUUUCUUCGAUGUUUCCAGGCUUAUAGAAAAAAAACACUAUUCUGCUGAUUGUGUAUAUACUACAUACAGACAUACAUACAUACAUACAUCCAUACAUUAGUAGACACUUAUGAAAAUGCAUUUUAGAGCAUUUAGUUUUGAAAUUGUGUGCCUAAGAUGCUGUUGUACCUUGAGAGCGGAGACCUUGCAUUAUUCGGUUUAAGACAAUUUGUGACAUAACGGUAGAAGCGUGGAGUUUUGAAAUAGCAUUAAAUGCAAAUAAAAAUAAAACAAAUUCAAAGAUUCUUUGAAAUGUUAAAAAAUAAAAGUUGGUGUAAUGCAAAUCAACUAGGAAAAGUGAAACAAAACGAAAACAAAGUGCAGAAAUUGAAACUCUUUCUAAACAAAAUGCUAACUCAUGAUAUGCGCAACUCAGUGUGACGCGUGGAAAAGCAAAACGUGAUUGUGAUGUGAAAAGCAUAAUAAGAAUUAUUUAGAGAAAAUAACAAAAAUCGAAGAUACACAAUCAUUAACAUAAAACCAAUUUAAAGUGUAUACAAAAAAAAAAAA